This 253-nucleotide ribosomal RNA is filed under the name uncultured bacterium. RNAcentral's name for it is "partial 16S ribosomal RNA". It matches the Rfam family "Bacterial small subunit ribosomal RNA", at positions 524 to 776 of the family's 1533-position model. The record is from RNAcentral.
UACGUAUGGUGCAAGCGUUAUCCGGAUUUACUGGGCGUAAAGGGAGCGCAGGCGGCGCGCCAAGUCUGAUGUGAAACCCCGGGGCUCAACCCCGGGCAUGCAUUGGAAACUGGCGGGCUGGAGUGCCGGAGAGGUAAACGGAAUUCCUAGUGUAGCGGUGAAAUGCGUAGAUAUUAGGAGGAACACCAGUGGCGAAAGCGGCUUACUGGACGGCAACUGACGCUGAGGCUCGAAAGCGUGGGGAGCAAACAGG